AGGCGUGUAGCUCAACGGGUAGAGCGCCGGUCUCAUAAGCCGGAACGCGGUGGUUCGAGCCCACCCAUGCCAAC
Molecule: transfer RNA, 74 nt
Filed under: Nocardia ninae NBRC 108245
Lineage: Bacteria; Bacillati; Actinomycetota; Actinomycetes; Mycobacteriales; Nocardiaceae
Description: tRNA-Met
Rfam family: tRNA
About the family: Transfer RNA (tRNA) molecules are approximately 80 nucleotides in length. Their secondary structure includes four short double-helical elements and three loops (D, anti-codon, and T loops).
Source: RNAcentral